Dendroctonus ponderosae (mountain pine beetle) is the source of this 532-nucleotide long non-coding RNA. RefSeq lists it as uncharacterized. NCBI's taxonomy places the organism in Eukaryota, Metazoa, Arthropoda, Insecta, Coleoptera, Curculionidae. The record is from RefSeq and is a predicted model, not a curated record. The transcript is spliced from 2 exons.
UGGCCGAUACGCAUACGCGUGCACGAUCUGCUCAUUCAAAAUUUCCAAAAAUUCAAAAAUGUCUUCACUUUAUCGUGGAAAUUUGCUAAUUUUCGGAAACAUAAACUUUUUAGUCGCCGUUUUAUGUAAUUUCCCAAGCCGAUAGUGGGAUUUUUACUUGAAAAACUCGAAUUUGCGAUUUUCAAACCGGUGGACGUUUACUGUCAAGAGGAAGUUGUCACCUCAUACGUCCCGACGAGCAUUUUCGCAAAACCGUUUUAAGCAAGUGACAUUCGGGAGUUUUAUGAACCAAUUUUCAGGAGUUUGGGAAUUUUGUAAUUAACUAUUUGGAUAUGGAAAUCGAGUCUGUAAUGAUCCCAGCUGUUACCAAACUUUAUGUGCUUGAGGGAUUGUGUGGCAGGAUUUUUCUACGCAAACAACCGGCAAAAACGGGAAAAGCAACAAAGUCGAUUGAAUUUGAGGAACAAUCAAGAUUUUAUAUCAAUUGGAACUAUGUAUUAACCAAAUCAAAUAUAUUUUUUUAAUUGUGAAA